This 74-nucleotide transfer RNA is filed under the name Ailuropoda melanoleuca (giant panda). It matches the Rfam family "tRNA". From Rfam's summary of the family: Transfer RNA (tRNA) molecules are approximately 80 nucleotides in length. Their secondary structure includes four short double-helical elements and three loops (D, anti-codon, and T loops). The record is from Rfam by way of RNAcentral. Lineage: Eukaryota; Metazoa; Chordata; Mammalia; Carnivora; Ursidae.
ACCUGGCUGGCUCAGUUGGUGGUGGCAUGUGACUCUUGAUCUCAGGGUUGUGAGUUCAAGCCCCAUGCUGGGCA